This 301-nucleotide ribosomal RNA is filed under the name uncultured bacterium. RNAcentral's name for it is "partial 16S ribosomal RNA". It matches the Rfam family "Bacterial small subunit ribosomal RNA", at positions 509 to 808 of the family's 1533-position model. The record is from RNAcentral.
CAGUCGCCGCGGUAAUACAGAGGGUGCGAGCGUUAAUCGGAUUUACUGGGCGUAAAGCGUGCGUAGGCGGCUUUUUAAGUCGGAUGUGAAAUCCCUGAGCUUAACUUAGGAAUUGCAUUCGAUACUGGGAAGCUAGAGUAUGGGAGAGGAUGGUAGAAUUCCAGGUGUAGCGGUGAAAUGCGUAGAGAUCUGGAGGAAUACCGAUGGCGAAGGAAGCCAUCUGGCCUAAUACUGACGCUGAGGUACGAAAGCAUGGGGAGCAAACAGGAUUAGAUACCCUGUAGUCCCUGUCUCUUAUACA